UGCCAGACUCCUACGGGAGGCAGCAGUGGGGAAUCUUCCGCAAUGGGCGAAAGCCUGACGGAGCAACGCCGCGUGAUCGAAUGAAGGCCUUCGGGUUGUAAAGAUCUGUUGACAGGGACGAAUAAGCAAUGCGAAUAGUUUUGUGUAUGACGGUACCUGUUUAGAAAGCUCCGGCUAACUACGUGCCAGCAGCCGCGGUAAUACGUAGGGAGCGAGCGUUAUCCGGAAUUAUUGGGUGUAAAGGGUGCGUAGACGGGUAAAUAAGUUAGUUGUGAAAUCCCUCGGCUCAACUGAGGAACUGCAACUAAAACUGUAUAUCUUGAGUGCGGGAGAGGAAAGUGGAAUUCCUAGUGUAGCGGUGAAAUGCGUAGAUAUCAGGAGGAACACCGGUGGCGAAGGCGGCCUGCUGGACUGCAACUGACGUUGAGGCCCGAAAGCGUGGGGAGCAAACAGGAUUAGAUACCCUAGUAUUG
This 473-nucleotide ribosomal RNA is filed under the name uncultured bacterium. RNAcentral's name for it is "partial 16S ribosomal RNA". It matches the Rfam family "Bacterial small subunit ribosomal RNA", at positions 329 to 793 of the family's 1533-position model. The record is from RNAcentral.